This 662-nucleotide ribosomal RNA is filed under the name uncultured bacterium. Its description in RNAcentral is "bacterial SSU rRNA". It matches the Rfam family "Bacterial small subunit ribosomal RNA", at positions 53 to 714 of the family's 1533-position model. The record is from RNAcentral.
ACAUGCAAGUCGAACGAGAAUCUACUGAAAGAGUUUUCGGACAAUGGAAGUAGAGGAAAGUGGCGGACGGGUGAGUAACGCGUGAGGAACCUGCCUUGAAGAGGGGGACAACAGUUGGAAACGACUGCUAAUACCGCAUGAAGCAUAGGGGUCGCAUGAUUCUUAUGCCAAAGAUUUAUCGCUUCAAGAUGGCCUCGCGUCUGAUUAGCUAGUUGGCGGGGUAACGGCCCACCAAGGCGACGAUCAGUAGCCGGACUGAGAGGUUGAACGGCCACAUUGGGACUGAGAUACGGCCCAGACUCCUACGGGAGGCAGCAGUGGGGAAUAUUGGGCAAUGGGCGCAAGCCUGACCCAGCAACGCCGCGUGAAGGAAGAAGGCUUUCGGGUUGUAAACUUCUUUUAAGAGGGAAGAGCAGAAGACGGUACCUCUAGAAUAAGCCACGGCUAACUACGUGCCAGCAGCCGCGGUAAUACGUAGGUGGCAAGCGUUGUCCGGAUUUACUGGGUGUAAAGGGCGUGCAGCCGGGUCUGCAAGUCAGAUGUGAAAUCCAUGGGCUCAACCCAUGAACUGCAUUUGAAACUGUAGAUCUUGAGUGUCGGAGGGGCAAUCGGAAUUCCUAGUGUAGCGGUGAUAUGCGUAGAUAUUAGGAGGAACACCAGUG